Non-coding RNA from Zootoca vivipara (common lizard), 953 nucleotides. Lineage: Eukaryota; Metazoa; Chordata; Lepidosauria; Squamata; Lacertidae. The record is from RefSeq and is a predicted model, not a curated record.
ACUGGAAUAACUGCUUCAUCAUAAUCACAGGUUCUGAUAGUUAAUACUGCAGAACUAUGAUACUAGCAGUCACAAAAAUAAACAAAUAAAAUGGGCUUAUUUAACAAUUUGAUAUUGUAUGCCAUAAUGACGCAUCAAUGCUUGCAUCACUCAGACAAAAAACCCCAGUAUAAUGUAAGAAUUAAAGCUCAAAUUAAAUUAAAACAUUGAAUCAAUCAAUAUACUUUAAUAAAAGCCUCAUUCUCUUGAUGCCAAAUCUUUAUGUAGCCAAAAUGGCAACAUCCAUGAGCAAGAAGGAUGUAUCAGCAGAUGUGGAGGAAUCCCAAAGUUUGCAGGAGUACCAAUCAAAAUAUUGGAGGGGGGGAUCUAAAAAUGGGGGUGGAGUGACCUGAAAUGACCUAUGGAAGACUGAACAUGCUCACUAUCCAUAAAAUGCUGACGGGGCUGGAGAAACAACAGAGUGGAAAUGAGGAUCUUGAAGAAGGGCAUGGCUGGUUUGUUGGAAGCCAGUAAAUGAGACUUUACACUGCAAUGUUUUAUUACUGAUGCUACUUGUUUAUAACUAAAUCUCAAUGUUCAAAGAACCAUGAAUUUUCAGGUAACAAUCUUAUUAAGAAAAAUAAACAUUCUGUGGCAACAGCAUCAUUGUAGCAUGAGCUUUCAUAAUCAAAAGCCCACUUCAUGCAUCUGUUGAAGGAAGGUCUUGUCUUGUUUGUGAAAGCUCAUGUCACAAGACUUGUUUUUACACCAGCAGACCAAUGUGGCUACUCUCCUAGAAUGUAGGCAUAAAUGAGACUUUCUAUAUUUUUAAAAAAAUGAAAAUGAAUUCAGUACUAGAUGCACCAAAAGAAUCAGAUCAUCAAAACCAGUUUGAUAGUCUGUUCUAUUUCCACUUCACACUAUUGUCUGUGUAAUACAGGACAGAGGCAUUAUCAAGUACACCACUAAAUACA